This 1267-nucleotide long non-coding RNA is filed under the name Brachypodium distachyon (stiff brome). RNAcentral's name for it is "long non-coding RNA (BDIS_LNC003555)". Lineage: Eukaryota; Viridiplantae; Streptophyta; Magnoliopsida; Poales; Poaceae. The record is from RNAcentral.
UUCUGCACCGAGCUCAUCCUAGGUACACUUCAAAUCUUCAUUAGAUUAAUACUCACUGUUCUGUAGAUUGCUAUGUUUGCGUAGAUAGAUUUACUCUGAGUUUCCGAAGCUCUAGCUAAAUCAGAUUGUAACAUCCCAAUUUUUAAAACCCUCCAUAUGCAUUUUAUUUCAUAAGCAUCAUGUCACCUUUGCAUUUAGUCACAUUUAAAACACUAAAGUUUAACUCAGAAAAACCCAUUAACAAUGUUGUUUUUAUUUGCAUCUGGCUUUUUACCCAUCUUUUGUUAAUUGCAUUUUAACCCAUGAGGGUUUUGGCAUGAAAAGGGGUUUAAUGCAAUAAAGAUGCUACCCCAUAUAUUGGUAUUUGAAUUGGAUUUGAAACUCUAAAUAUUUUAAUAGCUAAAAAGCUCUAAAGGCAAGUUUAUAGGAAAAAGUAUUUUUAAAUAUUUUAUUUUGAGGGAAUUCUUGUCCCAAAAGUUUAAUCAUAUGAAGAUAUGAUUUUACAAUUUUUGUUGCAUUUUAUUUGACUCGAUUUGAAGCUUUAAAUCAAAAGAUAGAAUCAAAAACAGAAAAUAAGAAAAAAAAAAGAAAAAAAAAGGGGGUAAUGGACUGACUCCAAUCGGGCCGGCCCACUUACCUGAGCGCUGCGGCCCAUCUCCACAGCCCGUGCCCCGUGUGCUGCCGCUGCCCCCGACAGGUAGGACCCACCGGUCGGGCUCAUCUUCAACCUCCAAUGACUGCCCCUAUUUCUCUGGCACGAACCCGAGCGUGCGUCUACGAUCCCCACACCCGAUUUCUCCUCGCCCACUCCACCAUACUCGAAGCUAUCCGCGUCACUUUAAAGCACCUCGACCCCGCAUCCUUUCCCCUCUCUUGCUCGACCAUUUCCACGCUGCCAGGCCGCCCAAAAAGCUCGCCGGAGAAGCCACUGCCGCCGCCGACCCGGUGAGACAAAAUCGCGACUACCUACCUCUCCUUUUUCCCCUCAUCUUUGCUGACUUUGUGAGGUGCUCCGUUUAAUUUUUGGAGCCCCGUAGCUCGCCGUCGACUCCAACCCAAAGUAACCGCUGAUGCCGUUGAGUUCUCGAGGACGAAGCGCACACCUCCGCCCGAACCGAGGAUCGCCAGCGCCGCCAUCUUCUUCGCCUCUUCGCUCCGCCCCUCCCCAACUUCUUCUCGAGCUCGAACGAUCAUCGGAACACCCGCGCUUCCACCGCCCGAGCCGCUGCCACCGCUCGAGCUCACCGGAGCCAACCCUAGCCGGAGU